GUUGCAUUGUGUAAUAGCCACAUAGAGAUGCAUUAGUCAGCCAAGUACAAAGAAAAUUGCAUGCUCGGCAACAUGGCGUAGCGGCCGGAUCAGCAGCACAGAGAUAGAGCGAGUGCACGCGAGCAGAUCGGCAAGCCAGGAGAUGAGUGGCUGUAGUCAUGUACGUGUGUACUAGGUGACCAAGUGAUUAGUGCAUGUGAAGAGAUGUGACCUGCAUGCACAUGUAUUAGUGUGGUCAAGUGUUUGUUAGUGGUAGACUACAUGCAUGGAGGUAAACGGCCGAGCUGUGUGGCCGUUGCGUGACGUUCGGCUAGUUAGUGCUGAACGUGCAUGCAUGAAGGUAGGUAGUGUGGAGUCAAAAAUGGAUCAAGCCAUUUGUGUGUGGCUUGGCCGACGUGUGUGCAUGUGGUGGUUAGUGGGUGCGUGAUAGUCGUGUGAGUCCGGCUAUUAAAGCCCAUGUAUUUGCAUCAUUGUGUGAGAUGAGUUGUCAAGAAGAUAAUGAGAAAAGGCACUAUGUGCGUGUGCCAAAGUGUGUGUAUCUUCUUCUUCCUUGCGUUCAUGUGCGUGUUUGUUCCUUCUUUCCUGGGGCAAGGCCAACAUUUGGUAUUCAGAGCCAUGGCCGGAGAACGAUCGCGCACUCCAUCAUGCUCGUCGGGUCGCCGAAGGGGCUCAACCUCGCCCAUACGGCGUGGGCGGUAUUCGACGCGGCGCGGCUGCCCUGAGGCCCUAGUGUGUGGAGGUCCGGUUCUCCAUCGAGGUCAAGCUGCAUCAUGAUCGAAGGAGGACAUGCUGCCCGGUAAGUUGUGCCACCGGCGGCAAGGAGUUCGCCAUCCAUGCCGGAGUCGUCGACAAGGUGUGUCGCCGGCGACCAUGAUGUUGUGAAGGCGUUGGAGGUGCGCCUCUCAUUGAAGCCAACGGCGACGGCGGCAAUCGGCGUGACAAGACGGCAUCGGCGGCCGUCUACGUGUUGCGCCGACGACAUCAACGACCAUGGGCUUCAAGAGAGAAAUACACCAUAACAAGAUUAGGGAGGUGAUUGUUGGAACUAAUCUUGUUAUCAGUAUUAAGCAUUUAAGAUUAGGUCAUUUUUAAUUUGUUGCAUUGUGUAAUAGCCACAUAGAGAUGCAUUAGUCAGCCAAGUACAAAGAAAAUUGCAUGCUCGGCAACAUGGCGUAGCGGCCGGAUCAGCAGCACAGAGAUAGAGCGAGUGCACGCAAGCAGAUCGGCAAGCCAGGAGAUGAGUGGCCGUAGUCAUGUACGUGUGUACUAGGUGACCAAGUGAUCAGUGCAUGUGAAGAGAUGUGACCUGCAUGCACAUGUAUUAGUGUGGUCAAGUGUUUGUUAUUGGCAGACUACAUGCAUGGAGGUAAACGGCCGAGCUGUGCGGCCGUUGUGCGACGUUCGGCUAGUUAGUGUUGAACGUGCAUGCAUGAAGGUAGGUAGUGUGGAGUCAAAAACGGAUCAAGCCAUUUGUGUGUGGCUUGGCCGGCGUGUGUGCAUGUGGUGGUUAGUGGGUGCGUGAUAGUCGUGUGAGUCUGGCUAUUAAAGCCCAUGUAUUUGCAUCAUUGUGUGAGAUGAGUUGUGAAGAAGAUAAUGAGAAAAGGCACUAUGUGUGUGUGCCAAAGUGUG
RNAcentral lists this long non-coding RNA (1629 nucleotides) under Triticum aestivum (bread wheat). RNAcentral describes it as "long non-coding RNA (TAES_LNC004281)". Lineage: Eukaryota; Viridiplantae; Streptophyta; Magnoliopsida; Poales; Poaceae. The record is from RNAcentral.